GGGCGAUCGUGAUUAUCUCACGUCUCCAAAGUGCGCUCGCGUGCGCGCCGCGCGACCCGACGGUGGCCGCUGUCCCGUUACGCGCGAGUUCGGCUUCUUUCUUCUUGAGCAGAGAAUCGUAGCCGGGGGUGUAGAGAUCUUCCAGCCAGAAGUUUAGCUCUCUUGGGUCUUCCUGAAAGAUCAGAAAACCUGAUUGUCCAGACUUCAGUUUCACACGAAUAGAAAUGUUUUAGCUAGGUCUACUACAUUGUUCAGGGUUAGUUAUAGAAAAUCAUCCAACUUUCUGCUCAGGGUUUCUUCUACACUCCUACAGUCACCGUCUGGGAUGAAUUAAGAGUCAUACCUCAGUUAUGAUCCCUGCUGCUGGGAUAUCUCACUGUGGAUCAGAUGGACAUCAUUAUCCAUGUGAACUCAAGAGCCACCAAAUUCACAAAUUUACAAAAAGGAUGUAAAACCAUGAACAGAACUCCAGUAGUAGCAGACUUUUCAUGUACUUAAGUUUUCAAAAAUAAAAUAAAAAGGUAUUUAUCCACCGUCAUGUCAUGUCAAACCUUCUGGAGUUUCUUUUUUCUUCAGAACACAAAAGUAGAUAUUUUGAAGAAUGUUGAUAAUCGAACAACCCCAUUGGGUUCAAAACUGAGCACAUUUCUCAAAAUAUCUUCUUUUGUGUUCCACUGAAGAAAGACUCACAUACACCGUGGCGUGAGGACGGUGAUCCAGACAUGAAGUGCACAAAAGCCCCCAAAAGAUGACGUCGGGCUUAUUGCCACUUGUGCUGUUCUUUUUUUUUACGUAGACACGCACGCACGCACAUACCCAUGCACGCACACACACACGCAACAUGUGUGUUCAUGUUGAAUACCUUCAUGUAGUCUCCCAGCUGUCCGUGUGCAGUGUGUCUGUCAUAUUCCUUAAUGGUCCAGGAUGGUUUGGAUUUGUUGUUCUCCUCUG
Triplophysa dalaica is the source of this 951-nucleotide long non-coding RNA. RefSeq lists it as uncharacterized. NCBI's taxonomy places the organism in Eukaryota, Metazoa, Chordata, Actinopteri, Cypriniformes, Nemacheilidae. The transcript is spliced from 3 exons. The record is from RefSeq and is a predicted model, not a curated record.